GAUCAUUAAUUAAAACAUUCCAACUACAAACUGGCUCGGCCGGUCUUUCCUGCUGUAAUGGGGGAAAGGUUGUCCUUGUCAGGGAAUCCUUUACUGUGAAAUCUUUUUUGAAAUCUUUUUGAACCUUGCCGUAAUAGCGAGGCGAGAAAAGAUGCCCAAAAAAUUAUACUGAAUACCUAUUAGUCCUUAUAAAUGUUAUAAACAAUCAGGGUAAAAGCUGAUUAAAACAACUUUUAACAACGGAUCUCUAGGCUCUCGCAUCGAUGAAGAACGUAGCAAAUUGCGAUAACUAUUGUGAAUUGCAUUUCGUGAAUCAUCAAGUUUUUGAACGCAUCUUGCACUCUGUGGUAUUCCGCAGAGUACACUUGUUUCAGUAUCAUAUUAACCCAACGCCGGCCAAUACUUGUUAUUGACCUGGGCGGGACUUUUACGUCAUUGACGGGAACAGGGCAAAUUAGUUUUUGCUUAACCCGUUUAAAUACUAUUUCUUCUUUGGCCGACAAUAAGUGGGGUUCACUGACAGAUAUAAAAUCAUUAGCGGGUGCUUUUAUUAGCCUAUUUUAUAUUCUGGCCUUCGAUUCUCUCAUGGUUUUUGGCGUGUCCAUUGAACGAAACACAUUUUUUGAUCUGAAAUCAAGUGGGAUUACCCGCUGAACCUAAGCAUAU
Molecule: unclassified non-coding RNA, 666 nt
Filed under: Pilobolus crystallinus
Lineage: Eukaryota; Fungi; Mucoromycota; Mucoromycetes; Mucorales; Pilobolaceae
Description: sequence contains 18S rRNA gene, ITS1, 5.8S rRNA gene, ITS2, 28S rRNA gene
Rfam family: 5.8S ribosomal RNA (bases 229-379)
Source: RNAcentral